UACGGAGGGCGCUAGCGUUGUUCGGAAUUACUGGGCGUAAAGCGCGCGUAGGCGGCUUUGUAAGCUAGAGGUGAAAGCCCGGGGCUCAACCCCGGAAUUGCCUUUAAGACUGCAUCGCUUGAAUCCGGGAGAGGUGAGUGGAAUUCCGAGUGUAGAGGUGAAAUUCGUAGAUAUUCGGAAGAACACCAGUGGCGAAGGCGGCUCACUGGACCGGCAUUGACGCUGAGGUGCGAAAGCGUGGGGAGCAAACAGG
RNAcentral lists this ribosomal RNA (253 nucleotides) under uncultured bacterium. RNAcentral's name for it is "partial 16S ribosomal RNA". It matches the Rfam family "Bacterial small subunit ribosomal RNA", at positions 524 to 776 of the family's 1533-position model. The record is from RNAcentral.